RNAcentral lists this ribosomal RNA (1480 nucleotides) under Drombus triangularis. RNAcentral's name for it is "partial 16S ribosomal RNA". It matches the Rfam family "Bacterial large subunit ribosomal RNA", at positions 403 to 2574 of the family's 2925-position model. The record is from RNAcentral. Lineage: Eukaryota; Metazoa; Chordata; Actinopteri; Gobiiformes; Gobiidae.
ACACCCCAACAACUAGCCCACCUAAAACCCCCAACAACCAACAUUAAUACCCCCUAAUACACAAAUUUAAACCUAAACAAACCAUUUUUCCCCCAAAGUAUUGGCGAAAGAAAAGGACAACACUAGGCGCAAUAGAAAAAGUACCGCAAGGGAACGUUGAAAAAGAAAUGAAAUAACCAGUAAAGAACAAAAAAGCAGAGCUCUGACCUCGUACCUUUUGCAUCAUGAUUUAGCAAGAACCCCUCAAGCAAAGAGCCCUUUAGUUUGAAACCCCGAAACUAAGAGAGCUACUCCAAGACAGCCUAUCGCAGGGCGAACCCGUCUCUGUAGCAAAAGAGUGGGAAGAACUUUGAGUAGAGGUGAUAAACCUACCGAGCUUAGUUAUAGCUGGUUGCCUGAAAAUUGAAUAGAAGUUCAGCCUUUUAAAUUCUUCAACCAAAUAAGGCCACACCCCCGCCCGGCCAAAAGAUAAUUAAAAGAGUUACUCGAAAGAGGUACAGCUCUCUCGAGAAAAGAUACAACUUUAAAAGAAGGCUAAAGAUCAAAACACCCAAGGAAGCACACCUAAGUGGGCCUAAAAGCAGCCAACCAAAAAGAAAGCGUUAAAGCUCAAGUGUACACACCCUUUAAUUCUGACAAAACAUAUCUAAUACCCCUUAACUUAUCAGGCCUCCUCAUGUAUACAUGGGGGAGUAAAUGCUAAUAUGAGUAAUAAGAGGGCUAAGGCCCUCUCAAACACACCCGUGUAAAUCAGAACGAACCCCCACUGAAAAUUAACGCCCCCAACCCAAGAGGGUAAUGAAUGAAAUUUAGCAAAACAAGAAAACCUCUCAAUCCAAACAGCGUUAGCCCCACACAGGAGUGACCCAAGAAAGACAAAAAGAAAAAGAAGGAACUCGGCAAACAUUAGCCUCGCCUGUUUACCAAAAACAUCGCCUCUUGCCCCUUGAGUAUAAGAGGUCCCGCCUGCCCUGUGACAACUAGUUUAACGGCCGCGGUAUUUUGACCGUGCGAAGGUAGCGUAAUCACUUGUCUUUUAAAUAAAGACCUGUAUGAAUGGCAUAACGAGGGCUUAGCUGUCUCCUUUUUCCAGUCAAUGAAAUUGAUCUGCCCGUGCAGAAGCGGACAUGCUCCCAUAAGACGAGAAGACCCUAUGGAGCUUAAGACACCAGGACAGCCCACGUCAAAACCCUGAACCAUUAGGAAAAAACCAAAUGAUCACUGUCCUCCUGUCUUUGGUUGGGGCGACCGCGGAGAAACAAUUAACCCCCACGUGGAAUAGGCUUUUGCCUUAAAACCAUGAGCCACAGCUCUAAUAAACAGAAAAUCUGACCAAAAAGAUCCGGCAGCGCCGAUCAACGGACCCAGUUACCCUAGGGAUAACAGCGCAAUCCCCUUCCAGAGCCCCUAUCGACAAGGGGGUUUACGACCUCGAUGUUGGAUCAGGACUUCCUAAUGGUGCAGCCGCUAUUAAGGGUUC